GCGGAAGUGGUGGAAUUGGCAGACACGCCAGACUUAGGAUCUGGUGCGCAAGCAUGGGGGUUCAAGUCCCCCCUUCCGCA
Molecule: transfer RNA, 80 nt
Filed under: Spirochaetaceae bacterium
Lineage: Bacteria; Pseudomonadati; Spirochaetota; Spirochaetia; Spirochaetales; Spirochaetaceae
Description: tRNA-Leu
Rfam family: tRNA
About the family: Transfer RNA (tRNA) molecules are approximately 80 nucleotides in length. Their secondary structure includes four short double-helical elements and three loops (D, anti-codon, and T loops). Further hydrogen bonds mediate the characteristic L-shaped molecular structure. tRNAs have two regions of fundamental functional importance: the anti-codon, which is responsible for specific mRNA codon recognition, and the 3' end, to which the tRNAs corresponding amino acid is attached (by aminoacyl-tRNA synthetases). tRNAs cope with the degeneracy of the genetic code in two manners: having more than one tRNA (with a specific anti-codon) for a particular amino acid; and 'wobble' base-pairing, i.e. permitting non-standard base-pairing at the 3rd anti-codon position.
Source: RNAcentral